UCAUUUUGCCUGUUUUUGUUGACUGUUUUGGAGUUUAUCAAAGUUUGAUAGAUCAUGGCAACAACACUGUUCACCUCGUUCAAGUUACCAGUUAAUUUAGUUUCCAGUUAAUGGCUGCUUUGAGAAGAUUAAGAAUGUAGAAGAUCACAGACUGCUGUCUAUUGAAUUUACAGAUUUCUUGACGGUCUGCCACUGUGCGUAAUCGUGCCACUACACUUUAUCUCACUCAGAUUUUAUAUUUUCAAUAAAA
Long non-coding RNA from Bufo bufo (common toad), 250 nucleotides. RefSeq lists it as uncharacterized. NCBI's taxonomy places the organism in Eukaryota, Metazoa, Chordata, Amphibia, Anura, Bufonidae. The record is from RefSeq and is a predicted model, not a curated record. The transcript is spliced from 3 exons.